Molecule: transfer RNA, 107 nt
Filed under: Tilletia horrida
Lineage: Eukaryota; Fungi; Basidiomycota; Exobasidiomycetes; Tilletiales; Tilletiaceae
Description: tRNA-Ser
Rfam family: tRNA
About the family: Transfer RNA (tRNA) molecules are approximately 80 nucleotides in length.
Source: RNAcentral
GGCAUCUUGGCCGAGUGGUUAUGGCGUUCGCCUAGAAUAUUAUUCUACCUCUUUCGAGGGAAAGCGCAUGGGCUUUGCCCGCACAGGUUCGAGUCCUGUAGAUGUCG